GUUAGCAUAGUUUAACAAAAACAUUAGGCCGUGACCCUAAAAACAGAAGAUCAUUCCUUCUUGCAAACC
RNAcentral lists this transfer RNA (69 nucleotides) under Sceloporus variabilis. RNAcentral's name for it is "tRNA-His". It matches the Rfam family "tRNA". Rfam says of the family: Transfer RNA (tRNA) molecules are approximately 80 nucleotides in length. Their secondary structure includes four short double-helical elements and three loops (D, anti-codon, and T loops). The record is from RNAcentral. Lineage: Eukaryota; Metazoa; Chordata; Lepidosauria; Squamata; Phrynosomatidae.